Molecule: ribosomal RNA, 571 nt
Filed under: Marquandomyces marquandii
Lineage: Eukaryota; Fungi; Ascomycota; Sordariomycetes; Hypocreales; Clavicipitaceae
Description: eukaryotic LSU rRNA
Rfam family: Eukaryotic large subunit ribosomal RNA
Source: RNAcentral
UUGACCUCGAAUCAGGUAGGAAUACCCGCUGAACUUAAGCAUAUCAAUAAGCGGAGGAAAAGAAACCAACAGGGAUUGCCCCAGUAACGGCGAGUGAAGCGGCAACAGCUCAAAUUUGAAAUCUGGCCCCUAGGGCCCGAGUUGUAAUUUGCAGAGGAUGCUUUUGGCGAGGUGCCUUCCGAGUUCCCUGGAACGGGACGCCAUAGAGGGUGAGAGCCCCGUCUGGUUGGAUACCGAGCCUCUGUAAAGCUCCUUCGACGAGUCGAGUAGUUUGGGAAUGCUGCUCUAAAUGGGAGGUAUAUGUCUUCUAAAGCUAAAUAUUGGCCAGAGACCGAUAGCGCACAAGUAGAGUGAUCGAAAGAUGAAAAGCACUUUGAAAAGAGGGUUAAAAAGUACGUGAAAUUGUUGAAAGGGAAGCGCUCAUGACCAGACUUGGGCCCGGUGAAUCACCCAGCGUUCUCGCUGGGGCACUUUGCCGGGCUCAGGCCAGCAUCAGUUUGCCUUGGGGGAUAAAGACUUCGGGAAUGUGGCUCCUCCGGGAGUGUUAUAGCCCGUUGUGUAAUACCCUGGG